UACAGAGGUCCCAAGCGUUGUUCGGAUUCACUGGGCGUAAAGGGUGCGUAGGUGGUCGGGUAAGUCUGAUGUGAAAUCUCCGAGCUUAACUCGGAAAUGGCAUUGGAUACUAUUUGACUGGAGGGUUGGAGGGGGACUGGAAUUCUCGGUGUAGCAGUGAAAUGCGUAGAUAUCGAGAGGAACACCAGUGGCGAAGGCGAGUCCCUGGACAACUCCUGACACUGAGGCACGAAAGCUAGGGGAGCAAACAGG
RNAcentral lists this ribosomal RNA (252 nucleotides) under uncultured bacterium. Its description in RNAcentral is "partial 16S ribosomal RNA". It matches the Rfam family "Bacterial small subunit ribosomal RNA", at positions 524 to 776 of the family's 1533-position model. The record is from RNAcentral.